AAAGUUGAUAAAUUUGUUGGUUAAAGUAUAAAGAUACUUUAUCAAAAUGGAAUCAGGUGAAAAUCCUGAGCUGUCCCGCAGCCGUAAAAGAGAGUUGAAGCAAUAUGUCACUGGGAAACUGGGAAGGCGCUGAUACGAUGAACUUGAGCCGGAAUACAUGCCAACAUCUUAGAAUACAC
RNAcentral lists this non-coding RNA (179 nucleotides) under Candidatus Stoquefichus. Lineage: Bacteria; Bacillati; Bacillota; Erysipelotrichia; Erysipelotrichales; Erysipelotrichaceae. The record is from RNAcentral. RNAcentral also lists the same sequence under 1 other name.